UGAGUAAAAAGUCGUAACAAGGUUUCCGUAGGUGAACCUGCGGAAGGAUCAUUGUCGAAUCCUGCAUGGCAGAACCACUCGCGAACAAGUUCUCAAACUCAAGGCACCGGCCAAUUGCGAGGGAACACCUUGCUCUUGGCCGGUGCCUAACGGUGCCACGGCGUCUUGCCCUGGUGCUGAACAAACCCCCGGCGUGAGAAGCGCCAAGGAAUACUUUAACAAGAGCUUGAACCAUCCUCUCCCGUUCGCGGGGAUUAGGGGAACGGUGACGGCUUCUUUAUAAAUCACAACGACUCUCGGCAACGGAUAUCUUGGCUCUCGCAUCGAUGAAGAACGUAGCGAAAUGCGAUACUUGGUGUGAAUUGCAGAAUCCCGUGAACCAUCGAGUCUUUGAACGCAAGUUGCGCCUGAAGCCAUUAGGCUAAAGGCACGUCUGCCUGGGCGUCACGCAUCGCGUCACCCCAUCCCCAAGUACUUGCGGAUGUGGUGGAUUGUGACCUCCUGUGUCCUGGGAUGCAGUUGGUCGAAAAUCGAGUCCGGAGCUUAGGACUUCACGGCAAGUGGUGGUUGGAUAACAACUCGCGUCAUGUCGUGUGCCAAACCUCCGCGGCUCUGUAGACCCUAUGGCGUGUGUUUUCCGACCCUCGGGUUGGGAAAUCGUGCUACGACCGCGACCCCAGGUCAGGCGGGAUUACCCGCUGAAUUUAAGCAUAUCAA
RNAcentral lists this ribosomal RNA (717 nucleotides) under Arnebia linearifolia. Its description in RNAcentral is "eukaryotic LSU rRNA". The stretch from base 292 to 447 matches the Rfam family "5.8S ribosomal RNA". The record is from RNAcentral. Lineage: Eukaryota; Viridiplantae; Streptophyta; Magnoliopsida; Boraginales; Boraginaceae.